RNAcentral lists this ribosomal RNA (467 nucleotides) under uncultured bacterium. RNAcentral describes it as "partial 16S ribosomal RNA". It matches the Rfam family "Bacterial small subunit ribosomal RNA", at positions 29 to 507 of the family's 1533-position model. The record is from RNAcentral.
ACGAACGCUGGCGGCGUGCUUAACACAUGCACGUCGAACGGAAAGGCCCUGCUUUUGCGGGGUGCUCGAGUGGCGAACGGGUGAGUAACACGUGAGUAACCUGCCCUUGACUUUGGGAUAACUUCAGGAAACUGGGGCUAAUACCGGAUAGGAGCUCCUGCUGCAUGGUGGGGGUUGGAAAGUUUCGGCGGUUGGGGAUGGACUCGCGGCUUAUCAGCUUGUUGGUGGGGUAGUGGCUUACCAAGGCUUUGACGGGUAGCCGGCCUGAGAGGGUGACCGGCCACAUUGGGACUGAGAUACGGCCCAGACUCCUACGGGAGGCAGCAGUGGGGAAUAUUGCACAAUGGGCGGAAGCCUGAUGCAGCAACGCCGCGUGCGGGAUGACGGCCUUCGGGUUGUAAACCGCUUUCGCCUGUGACGAAGCGUGAGUGACGGUAAUGGGUAAAGAAGCACCGGCUAACUACGUG